Paramuricea clavata is the source of this 418-nucleotide non-coding RNA. The record is from the annotation of a GenBank genome assembly. Lineage: Eukaryota; Metazoa; Cnidaria; Anthozoa; Malacalcyonacea; Plexauridae.
GAGAAAUUCAUCCCGCUUAAUGGGCUGCCUCGCUAAGCGAGCCAGCCUGGCUUCCAUAUAUAAACAGGCCCUAUUAAACUUCCCGAUAAAGGGCCUUUGCUCAAAACGUUCAAUUUGGCUUUGUAUUUCUAGAUAGUCGCAUCCCUGCCAACAAAAGCUUGUUUACAAAAGUUAGACUAUAUAGCUUCACUAACCCAAUAAGUUGUAUUGCGUCCUCAUGAAACCCACUUUCUUAUUUUACUCUGCCUAACGCCAGACAAUUUUACUUGCCAAGGGGACGAUGGGUAUCUCACUGUGUAUUUUCAGUUUCUCACUCUCUACUGUAUAUAAUAAAUAUCGUUAUCAAAAAAAUGAUAUUCAUUUGAUAAUAUAGACUACAGUAUAUCGAAUUAUGCAAAUUAGAAAACAUUUAUUGAGC